This 847-nucleotide ribosomal RNA is filed under the name uncultured Bacillota bacterium. Its description in RNAcentral is "bacterial SSU rRNA". It matches the Rfam family "Bacterial small subunit ribosomal RNA", at positions 41 to 871 of the family's 1533-position model. The record is from RNAcentral. Lineage: Bacteria; Bacillati; Bacillota.
GGAGCGCGCGGCUAUCUGCAGUCGAGCGAAUCUUUAGGAGCUUGCUUCUAAGGUUAGCGGCGGACGGGUGAGUAACACGUGGGCAACCUGCCUGUAAGACUGGGAUAACUUCGGGAAACCGGAGCUAAUACCGGAUAAUCCUUUCCCUCUCAUGAGGGAAAGCUGAAAGACGGCGCAAGCUGUCACUUACAGAUGGGCCCGCGGCGCAUUAGCUAGUUGGUGAGGUAACGGCUCACCAAGGCGACGAUGCGUAGCCGACCUGAGAGGGUGAUCGGCCACACUGGGACUGAGACACGGCCCAGACUCCUACGGGAGGCAGCAGUAGGGAAUCUUCCGCAAUGGACGAAAGUCUGACGGAGCAACGCCGCGUGAACGAUGAAGGCCUUCGGGUCGUAAAGUUCUGUUGUUAGGGAAGAACAAGUAUCGGAGUAACUGCCGGUACCUUGACGGUACCUAACCAGAAAGCCACGGCUAACUACGUGCCAGCAGCCGCGGUAAUACGUAGGUGGCAAGCGUUGCCCGGAAUUAUUGGGCGUAAAGCGCGCGCAGGCGGUCCUUUAAGUCUGAUGUGAAAGCCCACGGCUCAACCGUGGAGGGUCAUUGGAAACUGGGGGACUUGAGUGCAGAAGAGGAAAGCGGAAUUCCACGUGUAGCGGUGAAAUGCGUAGAGAUGUGGAGGAACACCAGUGGCGAAGGCGGCUUUCUGGUCUGUAACUGACGCUGAGGCGCGAAAGCGUGNGGAGCAAACAGGAUUAGAUACCCUGGUAGUCCACGCCGUANACGAUGAGUGCUAAGUGUUAGAGGGUUUCCGCCCUUUAGUGCUGCAGCUAACGCAUUAAGCACUCCG